This 27-nucleotide ribosomal RNA is filed under the name uncultured fungus. RNAcentral's name for it is "partial 28S ribosomal RNA". Lineage: Eukaryota; Fungi. The record is from RNAcentral. RNAcentral also lists the same sequence under 1 other name.
UUGACCUCAGAUCAGGUAGGACUACCC